UACGGAGGGUGCAAGCGUUGUCCGGAAUCACUGGGCGUAAAGGGCGCGUAGGCGGCUCAUGAAGGCUGUGGUGAAAGUCCGGGGCUCAACCUCGGAUCGGCCGUGGCGACUCGUGGGCUGGAGCACUGUAGAGGCGGGUGGAAUUCCGGGUGUAGCGGUGGAAUGCGUAGAGAUCCGGAAGAACACCAGUGGCGAAGGCGGCCCGCUGGGCAGUGGCUGACGCUGGGGCGCGACAGCGUGGGGAGCAAACAGG
RNAcentral lists this ribosomal RNA (253 nucleotides) under uncultured bacterium. RNAcentral's name for it is "partial 16S ribosomal RNA". It matches the Rfam family "Bacterial small subunit ribosomal RNA", at positions 524 to 776 of the family's 1533-position model. The record is from RNAcentral.